Non-coding RNA from Paramuricea clavata, 82 nucleotides. NCBI's taxonomy places the organism in Eukaryota, Metazoa, Cnidaria, Anthozoa, Malacalcyonacea, Plexauridae. The record is from the annotation of a GenBank genome assembly.
UGACAUGAAGUAUUACCACACAGACUGGCUGCUGAGUUUUCAAAAAGUCAGCAGCCAGUCUGUGUGGUAAUACUUCAUGUCG